Molecule: ribosomal RNA, 466 nt
Filed under: uncultured bacterium
Lineage: Bacteria
Description: partial 16S ribosomal RNA
Rfam family: Bacterial small subunit ribosomal RNA
Source: RNAcentral
GAUGAACGCUGGCGGCGUGCUUAACACAUGCAAGUCGAACGGAAAGGCCCAAGCUUGCUUGGGUACUCGAGUGGCGAACGGGUGAGUAACACGUGGGUGAUCUGCCCUGCACUUCGGGAUAAGCCUGGGAAACUGGGUCUAAUACCGGAUAGGACCACAUUUUGGAUUGUGUGGUGGAAAGUUUUUCGGUGUGGGAUGAGCUCGCGGCCUAUCAGCUUGUUGGUGGGGUAAUGGCCUACCAAGGCGUCGACGGGUAGCCGGCCUGAGAGGGUGUACGGCCACAUUGGGACUGAGAUACGGCCCAGACUCCUACGGGAGGCAGCAGUGGGGAAUAUUGCACAAUGGGCGCAAGCCUGAUGCAGCGACGCCGCGUGGGGGAUGACGGCCUUCGGGUUGUAAACUCCUUUCGCUAGGGACGAAGCGUUAUGUGACGGUACCUGGAGAAGAAGCACCGGCUAACUACGUG